This 345-nucleotide unclassified non-coding RNA is filed under the name soil metagenome. Its description in RNAcentral is "partial contains 5.8S ribosomal RNA, internal transcribed spacer 2, and large subunit ribosomal RNA". The stretch from base 1 to 119 matches the Rfam family "5.8S ribosomal RNA", at positions 35 to 154 of the family's 154-position model. The record is from RNAcentral.
GAUGAAGAACGCAGCGAAAUGCGAUACGUAAUGUGAAUUGCAAAUUCAGUGAAUCAUCGAGUCUUUGAACGCACAUUGCGCCCCCUGGUAUUCCGGGGGGCAUGCCUGUCCGAGCGUCAUUGCUGCCCUCAAGCACGGCUUGUGUGUUGGGCCCCGUCCUCCGAUCCCGGGGGACGGGCCCGAAAGGCAGCGGCGGCACCGCGUCCGGUCCUCGAGCGUAUGGGGCUUUGUCACCCGCUCUGUAGGCCCGGCCGGCGCUUGCCGAUCAACCCUAAUUUUUAUCCAGGUUGACCUCGGAUCAGGUAGGGAUACCCGCUGAACUUAAGCAUAUCAAUAAGCGGAGGA